RNAcentral lists this ribosomal RNA (461 nucleotides) under uncultured Flavobacteriaceae bacterium. RNAcentral's name for it is "bacterial SSU rRNA". It matches the Rfam family "Bacterial small subunit ribosomal RNA", at positions 338 to 795 of the family's 1533-position model. Lineage: Bacteria; Pseudomonadati; Bacteroidota; Flavobacteriia; Flavobacteriales; Flavobacteriaceae. The record is from RNAcentral.
CCUACGGGGGGCUGCAGUGAGGAAUAUUGGUCAAUGGACGGAAGUCUGAACCAGCCAUGCCGCGUGCAGGAUGACUGCCUUAUGGGUUGUAAACUGCUUUUAAUCAGGAAGAAAUGUGCCCACGAGUUGGGUACUUGACGGUACUGUUUGAAUAAGGAUCGGCUAACUCCGUGCCAGCAGCCGCGGUAAUACGGAGGAUCCAAGCGUUAUCCGGAAUCAUUGGGUUUAAAGGGUCCGUAGGCGGAUAGAUUAGUCAGCGGUGAAAGUUUGUGGCUUAACCAUAAAAUUGCCGUUGAUACUGUCUAUCUUGAAUAAGUGUGAAGUGGUUAGAAUGAGUAGUGUAGCGGUGAAAUGCAUAGAUAUUACUCGGAAUACCAAUUGCGAAGGCAGAUCACUAACACUUUAUUGACGCUGAGGGACGAAAGCGUGGGGAGCAAACAGGAUUAGAUACCCCAGUAGUC